UACGAGGGGGGCAAGUGUUGUUCGGAAUCACUGGGCGUAAAGGGAGCGUAGGCGGACGUUUAAGUUGGAUGUUUAAAACCGGGGCCCAACCUCGGAGCGGCAUCCAAAACUGGGCGUCUUGAAUGGAACAGAGGCUGGUGGAAUUGGAGGUGUAGCGGUGGAAUGCGUAGAGAUCUCCAAGAACACCUAUUGCGAAGGCAGCCAGCUGGGACCAUAUUGACGCUGAGGCUCGAAAGCAUGGGGAGCAAACAGG
RNAcentral lists this ribosomal RNA (253 nucleotides) under uncultured bacterium. RNAcentral describes it as "partial 16S ribosomal RNA". It matches the Rfam family "Bacterial small subunit ribosomal RNA", at positions 524 to 776 of the family's 1533-position model. The record is from RNAcentral.